CGUCAAUAAAACAGCCCACUUUUUCAACAUUUUGUUAUGGCAAGAAAGCUGGCAUAUCAAUCUGGAAAUUUUCAUUUUUCUUGCCUAUAGUUUCAGUCUGCAAACAUCUCAAUAACCGGAGAAGCUGAAUUCAUUUUGUUAACCAGACAAAAAUCAUUUGUGCAAUUGCUACGAAAGGACAUCAUAGGUAAGCGACAUAGCUCGAUAAUUACCGCUUCACUUGAGCAGGCCCAAAAUCUCUAUUUACAAAAUUGUUUGAAUAUAAAUCUUUCUCAAAGAGUUUCCUCUUAAUAGUAUUAUUUUAAUGUUAAUAUAUUUUUAAACUUCCAUUACGCUAGAUAUUCCGUACCAUGAAAAAUUGAAGUUGCAAACCAGCCUUAAGUUCAGUUAUUUCAAGUUUAGGAAAUCUCAGACUAACUUGAUGGAUUGCUUUCUUAAGAUGGCGUCGAUUUCGGCUAGAGUUGGAUGCUCGCAAGAAAGUUCAAUUUCAUUAGUAACCUCCAUGUGUGGACAACUUGAUGGAUUGCUGCUAGAUGGCGUCGAUUUUUUCAGACUAACUUUAAGGGCCUGUUCAUAUGGGCAGAAGUUAUCCCAGUUAGCGAGAAAACUUUUCGACAAGUUUACGAGCGAGAUCUCGCCUUGUUACGAAAAUAUGAAAAGUUACAUUGCGUUCAUAUGAGACGAAAAGUUUUCCCGUGUACCGAGAUCUCGAUUGUUGACAGGCGAGACCUCG
Paramuricea clavata is the source of this 733-nucleotide non-coding RNA. NCBI's taxonomy places the organism in Eukaryota, Metazoa, Cnidaria, Anthozoa, Malacalcyonacea, Plexauridae. The record is from the annotation of a GenBank genome assembly.